Molecule: ribosomal RNA, 346 nt
Filed under: uncultured Sphingobacteriales bacterium
Lineage: Bacteria; Pseudomonadati; Bacteroidota; Sphingobacteriia; Sphingobacteriales
Description: bacterial SSU rRNA
Rfam family: Bacterial small subunit ribosomal RNA
Source: RNAcentral
AGGUGCUGCAUGGUUGUCGUCAGCUCGUGCCGUGAGGUGUCGGUUAAGUCCCAUAACGAGCGCAACCCUACCUUUAGUUGCCAUCAGGUAAUGCUGGGGACGUCUAAAGGAACUGCCUACGCAAGUAGUGAGGAAGGCGGGGAUGACGUCAAAUCAGCACGGCCCUUACGUCCAGGGCUACACACGUGCUACAAUGGCCGAUACAGAGGGCAGCUACCUGGUGACAGGAUGCAAAUCUCCAAAGUCGGUCUCAGUUCGGAUCGGAGUCUGCAACCCGACUCCGUGAAGUUGGAUUCGCUAGUAAUCGCGCAUCAGCCAUGGCGCGGUGAAUACGUUCCCGGGCCUU